CUGGGAAGUAAGUCAGAAGGCAAGCCAGGAACUGAGCAGGGAAGUGAUCCAGGUAUUGAGCCGGGAAGCAAGUUGGGAAAUGAGCUGCAAAAUGAGUUGGGAAGUGAGUUGGGAAGUGAGCCAGGAAGCAAGCUGGGAAGUAAGCCGGGAAAUAAUCCAGGAAGCAUGUUGGUAUACAAGCUAGGAAAUGAGUCAGGAAGUGAGCUGGGAAGUAAGUCAGGAACUAAGUCAGGAAACAAACUAGGAAAUGAGGCAGGAAAUAAGCUGGCAAGCAAGCCAGGAAGCAAGCUGGGAAGUAAGUCAGGAACUAAGCCAGGAAUUGAGCAGAGAAGUGAUCUGGAAAGCAAGUUGGGAAGCAAGCUAAGAAAUGAGGCAGGAAGUGAGUGGGCAAGUGAGCCGGGAAGCAAGCUGGGAAAUGAUCUGGGAAUGGAGCUGGGAACUGAGCCGAGCUCUCAUGACCCUGGGAAUGUGGCUGAAACACUGAGCAGCCAUUCCGAGAAGGAAACACUUGCCCCAAGCACCGGGGUCUCCCCAGGGAUUUCCAAGGCCCAGAUGGCAGAUGAUGGAUGUUCCCAGAGCACGGAGAAGGAUUUGGCUGGUGGAAGCAUGAGCAGGGAGAACAAGGAGAACAGGGAAUCCAUCCGGACCCUCAGUGUCACCUCGAACCUGGGGCUGCUGAUGACAGUGAGUGAUGCAGAGUCCGACACCUCCUACUCCUUCUCCUCGGUCGCAAAGAUCCAGGUGGAGGAGAACUACAUCCCCGAAAGGCAGGGGAAGGACAGGGACAACUGGACGGUCCCCGGGCUCAGAGGCAAAGUCUACAACUACUACGUGCAGUCCAUCUCCGAGUCGGUGCUGAAGAAGAAGUGUCUCCCCUACAUCCCUCCGGGAAUGUCCCGGUGUCACAGCUCUGAGCAGGUCAAUGAAGAGCUGCAGAGCUUUGCAACCCAGAAGCAGGACCCAGCUUUGGCAGCACGUGAUCCCACCACCUCCUCCACAGUCCCACCACCCACGAGGAGCUCAGAGGCCUCUCCUGAGCCACCGUCUCCCGGCCGCAGGAAGAGCAUCCUCCAGAUUGCCGACAGCCCCCACCUCCAGCUGCCCAUGGAGGGGUUUGGGGUCACAGCUCCA
This 1131-nucleotide long non-coding RNA is filed under the name Manacus vitellinus (golden-collared manakin). Its description in RNAcentral is "lncRNA (ENSMVIG00005006357.1)". The record is from RNAcentral. Lineage: Eukaryota; Metazoa; Chordata; Aves; Passeriformes; Pipridae.